Molecule: ribosomal RNA, 253 nt
Filed under: uncultured bacterium
Lineage: Bacteria
Description: partial 16S ribosomal RNA
Rfam family: Bacterial small subunit ribosomal RNA
Source: RNAcentral
UACGGGGGGGGCAAGCGUUGUUCGGAAUUACUGGGCGUAAAGGGUUCGUAGGUGGCCAACUAAGUCAGACGUGAAAUCCCUCAGCUUAACUGGGGAACUGCGUCUGAUACUGGUUGGCUUGAGUGCAGGAGAGGAACGCGGAAUUCCAGGUGUAGCGGUGAAAUGCGUAGAUAUCUGGAGGAACACCGGUGGCGAAGGCGGCGUUCUGGACUGCAACUGACACUGAGGAACGAAAGCGUGGGGAGCGAACAGG